UGUAUGUGUGUGUAUGUGUGUAUGUGUGUGUGUGUUACACACAUGCAUAAGGAAUGCACACACGUGCACGAAAAGAAACAUGCACAGAAGAACGUACACUUUUUUUAUAAAUCAAACAAAAGCAAACACACACCUUUUCCGUGCCACCCGCGGCAGCCACGACAUGUGUUGUGACCCCCGGGUCAUAGGUGGUUAGACAGUUGGCCCCCAACGACAUUGCCAACUGCCAUAACGGCUCCCUGAGGGGGUUACGGUCUUGAGGCCAGCAGCGGCUGAAGGUGAUACAGCAACCCUGAGGCAUCAACUCCAGGGGGGGGGAGGGAGGGGGGAGGGAGGGAGGGAGGAGGCAAAAGGGGGCCUGAUGUCAAGGAUAUGCCCGUGUCACUCGGCUAAUGUACAUAUCUCCCCCUCCCCUCCCCUCCCCCCGCCCCCCCCCUCCCUCGCCAGCACCCCGGCUGCACAAACACAGCUGCUGCCAGUGGCAGUGGCAUUUCCUCAAGGUCGAACUGACGGAUGCAGACGUACGAUAUACGUACAGGUCUAUAAUUACGUAUACGUACGUAUGUAUAACUGUCUUGCACUAGGCUCAUCUUCACUUCCUAGCUAGACUGUGGAUAGGUACGAGUGCGGCCAUUACCGUUCGUACACAUCUCGUCGCGCAGAGGAAAUAACGGCGGUAAUGGGCUAAACCACUGCUGUUUGAAAAACUGCCGAGUGAGGCACUGCUGUUACAUGAUCCUCAACCUCCUCCUCCUCCUCAACCUCCUCCUCAACCUCCUGCUACUCCCUCCCAACCUCCUCAACCUCCCACCUGCAGUAUCUCACGGCGCUGCUCGGACAGAAUGUCCCGCACAUCCCUUCGCUCCAGGGGGGGCAGUGAGGGAUCAUCCGCGGAGAAAAACCUGCGGAUGCGGAGGCGUUGCGGACGGGUUGAGGGUUUUGGGGUUUCGGAGCCCGAGGGGCCCUCUCGACGACAUGGAUGGCACGACAACGGGAAAUGACGAUGGCGAUGAUGGAAAGGGCGGUUGAGAGCUUUCCCCCCCCACCCCCGGGAAGGUGCUGAAAUAUAUGAUGUCACUCUCGACAUCAUCAUCAUCAUCAUCAUCCGGCGCGGGCCGGGACCACAAACGCUAAAAAAGAAGCCGACUUCGCAUCACCUCCGCUUCCACUCAACCUCUUUUCGCCAUCAGAAAUACACACAUACAUACUCACAGCUCAUGCAUGGACGCGCGUGUGUACACAUGCAAUGGAUGCGGAUAUGCCGUACCGUGUGUGUACGGCGCGCAGUACACGCAUAUGGGCGGCCAGAGCGCCAUCCGUAGCGCUCUCAUCGCUGUCCUGAAGGUGCCCAUUGGGGGGAGGGGGGCAGUGGUGGCGGAGGGGGGGGGGAAUGGGCCGGGAGGGGGGUUAGCGACAACCCCAAAUGCUGGCGUGUGUGUGGUGGUGGUGGUGGGGGGGGGUUGGGGGGGAAAGACGAACCACGAACCAGUGAAGCUGGGGGGGAACAGACAGUCAGACGAAGGGGCGUGACGGAGGGGCGUGACGGAGGGGGGACCAGGGGGGGUGUUCUGGGUUUUAAAAAAAGGCGGGAAAUGAAGGACCGCGAAUUCACACUGAGGUAUUCCGGAUGAGGGGGGAGAAGUCGCGGGGAAAAAGGGUGAGGUGGAGUGGGGAAGAUGGUGGUGAGGUGUUGUACUGCCCAGCCCGCCAGUUGGCAGUUAGUGGUUGGAGUGACUUCGGAGGGAGCGGAAAGUGACGGAUCGCAAAAGAAGACGAUUAAAAUUGCCGCAUCCCUGUGUCGUACAAGAAGCCGUACAGGAGCUCUCCCAACGCUUCCCUACCUGCUCAAGCAGUGCCGUACCGUCUACACGCCACUUCCGCAGGUCCGACGGGAAAUAGUGGUAACGCUCAACCUGGAAAUCGUGCAGUUCCCGAUAAAUUAAUUAUUUUAAUAAACUUGUUAACAAAUUCUACUUCUUCGAUGUUUGAUAUGGCGGUGGAGAAGCACUGGCCCAGAAAAGACGCGCAACGGCCAGGCAACGGAAAACGGCGUAAAAAAGGUACUUCGCUAUCUUGCCGUACAACGGAAUAGCGGAAUAUAAUAAAAUUAAAACAUUAAAAAAGAACUAAAACCUACAGCGAUGUGGGACCGCCCCUCCUACCUGCAACAGAUUCCUCCGGUGUCCUGGCCAAACCGCCUCCGUGUCGUCCAAUACCAGAGCAAGCUCGUCCGCUGAACUGCGGUAGUUGACAGUUAGGUGUUAGCAGUUGGCAGCAAACGGUUGGGGCACAUGCCGCUAGAUAAGUCGGUUUCAAAUAUAGUUGAUCGUUGGCAGUUGGCUGCUUAAACUUAGUACGGAUCAGCAACGCGAUGCUGUCCAACCUCAUAGCCGCUCAACCAACUCCCGCUCCCGCCAGUUAGUUAGUUAGUUAGUUACUUCCCAAAACGUCCCUCUUGCGCUCCAGCUCUUCCCCCGACCCUUCCCCAUUCACCUCUUCUAUUUCGGCGCUUAUCAAUCCUUACAUUCCCCUCCCUUUUCCCCUACCGACAUACAUACCUCAAAACACACAUGCCAGGUUUAGGGAAUCGCACGACGAUGCAGAGUACGACAAAACCAACCGCUGCUGCCGACGCCGAAAGCACCGACUCCAACGCAUCAACUGCCCCUCGUGCCGGGUUUCGGUGUAUUAGGGUGGCAGCACGACGUUCCCCCUCCCCCUCCCCUCAGUUCUGGACAUGGCCGUGGAGUAUCCGGCAUAUGGAUGGACAGAAUAACUAGAUAAUUACAGUGCAUUCGAUCAGUCUUUAACCCCCCACCCCAUCCCCCCUCUUCCCCUACUUCUUUCUGUUCCCCUCUUUGCCCAAAACCCAAAACCCUCCCCCACCCCCUCACUCACAGCAGCACGUCAAGAUCCUUCGCGGUUGCGGUGGUGGAGUGGUCUUUUGCGAUAACAGAGGAGAACAACUUGCCAGUGGGGUCAAGCAACCUGUGCGCGUGCGUAUGCGUGUGUGUAUGUGUAAGUGUGUUUUGGGGGACGGGUAAGGGGGGGAAAUGGGCUGUCGAGGGUUGGAGGACGGGACGGACGGGAAAGGGCCGGGGGAAGGCCGGGGAGCGGGGGGUUUAGCAAGGGGAAUCAGUGAUACGUGCGCGAGUGGGGUAUUUCUUUCCGUACCGUGCCGUACACAGAAUACGCAGGAUAUGUACCUGCAUACAUACACGCAUACAUGGCUCGCAGUUUACGGGCAUACGCAUACACGCGACGUGCGAACCGACCAGCACUUUCCCCUCUCCCCCUCAGACCCCUCGUGCCCAAAUCCGUGUCUGAAAAACACCCACGCUCCCCUUCCCCCCUCUUUUCCUGCUUUCCCUCCCCCCCUCCCUCCCCACAAACACACGCACGCCGUCUCACUUCCGAACCUCCGCCGCGUACGUCUUAUCCCCCAUCGUGUAAAUGUGCAUCUCGUAAUCGUCUCUCAAACCCUGGUAGGUCAAAUUUGUGGGUUGCGGGUGCGGGUGGGAGGGUACGUGUAUAUGCGGGGGGGGGGCCAUUUCAGGCACAAGUAUACGACAGCUGCACGACAGCGACAACGACCCAAACCGGAAACCCCACUUCCCCUUCUCCUAACCCACAUACCCCACCUCCAAGAACUCGAACACCCCGGGCCGGAGUUUGGUCCACAACUUAUUUUCCGCAAGUCGGUGCAGCAGCCGCCGAGGGCCCAGGUUAGCCUCCUGGGGGGCCGGGGGUGGGGGUUUGGAGUGGGUUUGGAGGGUGGUGGAGGGGUGGCGGAGGGGGUGGUGGAGGGGGCUUGGAUGGUUGGUGGAGGGGGGAAGACGAGCCACCGGGGGGUCAAGGUGGGAGGGGGGAGGAAAGGCAAACGGACCCGAAAUGGGUCUGGGAGGAAAAGGAAGGGAAAGGAUCGUAAAUGAGAUAACGCCUACACGUACGCCCCCUUCCUCACAUUUUCUUAAAACACAAAUACAACACCCCAGCACAUACACAUACACACACCCCUCCCUCCCCCCCGCACCUCCUCGCGGCGCAGCACCUCGGCCAACUGGGUUGCCGUAUCCGGCCCCACCUCCGAGGUGUGUACGGAAUUGAGCAGAGUGUGAUCCAGAUCCAAAAUCAAAAUCAGUCGCCGCCGGGACAACAGCCGUGUGACGGUUUCCCUUCAUAAUUCAUCAAGGGGAGAGGAAAGAGGCCCCGGCCCCCGGGGGAGGGAAGAGGGGGUGGGGGUAGUCCUGUGGGUUUUAAAUCAAUGCAAAGGUCUGCUUUGUUAUGUUGGAAUGCCAUGUCAUGUCAUGUUCCGUUACGUUACGUUAUGUUGAUGGGGGGUGUUACACACUGUGUGGGCGGCUCUCGUCCUGAGAAAGGACGAGCACCGCGCAAGGCCCUGACCGGACCGGGCCGGGGGACGAAACACAGCGCGGGGGUGGGCUCGCGGCUCGGGGCUAGUUUCGUCUGUUCCUCUCCGCGCGCCUCACUCACUCACUCACUCACUCACUCGCUCACUCGCUCACUCACUCGCUCACUCACUCACUCGCUCACUCACUCACUCGCUCACUCACUCACUCACUCACUCACUCGCUCACUCGCUCACUCACUCGCUCACUCACUCGCUCACUCACUCACUCACUCACUCACUCACUCACUCGCUCACUCACUCACUCACUCACUCACUCGCGCCACAGCCUCUGGGCGCUCUCCCAGCCCCUGGCUAUAGGCAACACAGCGGCGCAGAAGAAGACUGCGAACCGAACUAAGCGAGAGCCGCGCGAGAGGCGCCACACAACCUCUAGGAACCCUAAACAGGCUAUCUGCCCCCAUAUUGCGCCUGGCCUGCCUAUUCGCGCGCUCUCGUCCCUCUUGACCGCCAAAACAAAAACAAAUAUGUAAUAUGUUAUGUAUGUUCCCACCGUCACAAACACCGUCACGACACAUACAUACAUACACAUACAUACAUACACAUACAUACAUACAUACAUACACACACCUGCGAAUGCGGUCCGCCUCGUCCGUGCUGACUUCUACCUCCUUACUCGCGUGGAGGUGCUUAAGCCGUACAACACCCGACUGCAUGUACGACAUGAGAGAAUACGCAUUAUACAACGUAAGAAUGUUGCGGAGCUCGGGGUUGAAUAUACGAGGUGGGAAGGAAGGAGAGCAUAGCGGGGUCUGCGUAGCGGGGCCUGGAUUCAUAUGGAUUUAAAGGAGUAGUAUCCAAAAUGAAAAGUAGAUUCAAACGGAGUGGAUCCAAGCCCUGUGUUGCUGAUACGUCCUACCUCGUCCAAUCCGCCGUACAUCGUCGUACAAACGCAAAUACCCUCGUGCACACUGACACCCCACAAGUUCCCACACGUGGCGCGAUCCCUUCGCCCUAUUGUGUGAGGCACCAGACAAAGGGAAUUGCAAUAAACGGUUGACUAACCAACCAACUGACCAACUAACGCGACAUGGCACACCAACGGCUCGCCCCAGCAGCCUACCCGGACACCCCCGGCGGCGGGCCAACCGCCAACCGCCCCUGCGACCGCCAGGUAUCCGCUUCCACUGCUGCUGCCGCCAACACCAGCGACGCCGCCAAGGUACUGCCCGUACUUGUCGUACUCUGCGUCUGCUUGCGCCGCCGCUGCUGCUGCCACUGCCGCCUCUACUGCCGCUUCUUUACUAAUGCCGCAGAGUCCGCACAAUCCAAACACCCAAACAGGAUGGGCGCAUGGGGAAGUGGGGGGGGAUGCGGAGGGGGAUGUGCCGGCUGCGGCGGCGGCGCCGCCGCCACCGUCGUUGCGGCGCCGGCUGGCGGCGCCGGCACCACCGCAGUCGCUGAACCUGACCACACGUUGUCGCUUGGGUGGCGGGGGAUGGUAUCCUGCCAUUUGUUUGAGGUUGCGGAUUGAAAAUGCGGGGAAGGACGGAAUUAUCGAAGGGGCCACAAAGCGAGUUCGAUAAUUGCCGAUGAGGGGUGGGACAGGAAGAGUCGGGAGACGGAAGGGGCGGGUAAGGAAAGACCUGAGAAAAGGAAGGGGAGCGGAGAAGGGAAAAAGGAGGGACGGGGAAGGGGCCGUAGAGUAUGAAAGCGUUUUAAGGACGGAAAGGAGAUAAAUCCGCCUUGGGUAUGUUUUCCAUGCUGCAAGGUUCGUGCAUGUCAUUAACAUUUUAGGUGUUUCAAACCCCAUUCCUUCCGGGGCCGUUUCAGAGCUUUACUGAGGUCCAAAGCGACAUGAAGAUUUGGGCCGUACAGUAGGUGGCGCCUGGGAGCGGAGGUCUGCUGCUGAUUUGUCCCACUCCUCGGGAUGUUACGUUGGGACACAACCCAACUCUGACAGGAAAUUGCGCGUGUUACGGGGUAGUACGUAGUCGUCAUGAGCAUGUGCAAGGAAAGAGUUGCUUAUACCUACGCAAGUUUAGCCUCGACAGCUGCACCUAAUAUAGAUGCAACCCGAGGCUGCCCAGGCAAGCAACCUCGUGUCUUGCUCACCAGUAUCCUCUUGAAGCGCCUCGAUUUCGGUAAAGCCUUGAUCACCUAGUUCGUCCAAGUCAACCUCAGAGCUGGAAGAAGAAUUCCCGCCCUCGUCGUCGUGCUUUGGGAUGUUUCCGUCAUCGUCAUUAGCCUGUGUACAUAUUAAGCUUAGGCAAGAUCAUGUGUACCUAUGCAGGCAAGAUGUCCCAGCUAUUUAUGUCAACUAACCUGCUCUUCUGCUUCAUCCUCGCCAAACUCGCCAUCGAAAGCAGCCGCAAGCUCGUCAUCUAAACUGCCUGGUGGAGAACCUUGAUCUGACAUUGCUAUUGCUAAAAACAGAUCGCAUAUGUAUGUUGCAAUUCACGGCGCAACUAAGCAGGGACUUCUUAAAAAAGCCUCAGAGCCUUAAGAUUUCCUUGUGCUGAGGCUUGAUGCGCCAAGCAAGCAGAACUUUAAGAUUGUACAUUGCGACAAUAUGACGGAGCUGCAGCACCUGUCCUCGAGACGCCGUGAGGUCCGACAAACCACACUGCUACAACGAACCUCGGCGAAUCCCAACGCUCGCUGCACCGAACUCUACUGUCUCUAAACCACCUAACCAACCGGGCAUGCGCGUUUCAUUUAUCGAGUCAGUCAGCAGCCAAAUCGGUUAGCAAUCACACUCUUUCUUGGAGUGCAGCGAAACGGUCAGCACAAACCCAUCGACGCACCUGUACAGAUGGCAGUUCUUCCCUAUCUUUCAACGCGCGCUCGCUGCUCCCCCGGCCCCUCUUGAGCACAAUAUUGAGACACCUUAGGUCGGGAGGGGGACGCGCCCUGGUGUGUCCAUUGCUGGUGCUAGCUAGCUAGCUGCUGGACGGCGGCUGCCAUGAAAUUAACACAUAUUCCGCAAAUCUGCGCGUCCAGACCAUCCCGCAAAUGCAUAACUUAUGACAUCGAUGUUAGGCGCCAUGAUUUCAGUGAAGCGCCAUGGAUUCAAAAAGUGUUGCAAAUCUCGGAGUUUAGAUUCGAUAGAUUUACUCAACAAAAAUAGCUUUAGCCAGCUGACACGUCAGCUCGUUUCUUACAGACGUUGUAUUCACAGCUGGUGUAUGCAUGUGCCCAUCCGUCGAGCUGUCAGUCCUUUUUUAUAAUUGCUCCAGCCAAGUACUGGCACUUGGCAGCUGACGCAGCAUUAUGCGUUAGGGCUGUGUGGCCUCCAGAGAUUCGGGCCGUUAGUUGGUUAUCGGUUAAUAACCCAACCGCCUUGUCGACACCCACGCAAAAUUCAGACCGACCGACCGACCGACGGGCUGACCAGAAGACCCAAACGUGGACGGACAGACAGAUAGACAGACAAAUAGACGGACGUACACCACACGUACACAAUGCCCAAAUCGCAAAAUGCAAGCAAACAGUCCGCAAGGGACGUUCGGGCUGUCGUUGCUUGGCAACCCAAACACAGGUAUCUGUACGGCAUUUACUAAACCAACAGUGCUAGUAACGCCGUACAAGCACGAAAGUCGAACACACUUUAAAAGCCUGCGACAUAGUCAGCAUGCUCUGUCUGUCUCUCUGUCAGCCUCAUAGCCGCACUCUACACCCUCCACGCCUCUUUCGCUCCCCGUAACGGUCAACUGGGAAAUCGCAUGUGUGCACAACGAAGCCUUGAGGUGACAGCGCAAGCAGUACAAACAAAAAACACAUCUAAUAAAUGACAUAGACAACUAGACCAACGUCUCUAACGGCUGCUUGGUGUGCACGUGCACACGGUGACAACAUCGCAGUAGCAGCAGUAGCAGGCAGCAGAGGUAGCCGGCCGCCGCCCGCACCACAGCCACCGAUGCCAACACCCCGGGGACCUCCCCAUUUGCCACUCAUCACUUCUGUGAUGACAUAAAUAUAAAUAUGUGUGUGUAUGUAUGUAUGUGUGUGUAUGUAUGUAUGUGUGUAUGUAUGUAUGUGUGUAUGUAUGUGUGUGUAUGUAUGUGUGUGUAUGUAUGUGUGUGUAUGACUUAGAUUACACUGUGAGCCGCCAGGGGCCGAAGCCGAAACACAGCGCAAGGGUCAGGAGCACACAGCACAAGUGUGUGUGUAUGUGUGUGUCUCGAGAGAUCAAGAUCUGCGUAUAUGCCGCAGCUGUGUUAGACCCAACAACACACAUCCAAAGAUAGCCUCGCGCCACUGCGUCAUAUUACACCAGUACUGGAGUAUCAUUACAGGAAUAUCCGUACUGGUUCCAUUCUGUCGUACUGAUGUAAAGGAAUCAUUUUACAUCCGAGCACAUUCACAGCUCAUGUAGUAGUUGGCCGCUGCUGAAAGGCCUCUCGAGAUGCUCGUGGAGAGCUUUGCACGUAUUUGUACAUGUUGUGUGUGCCGAACUGUGUAACAGCUACUUCAGCUCAGUUCAUUACGUCUCAUACAAAGAACAACAGAGAGUCCAACUCGCCAGCUUCCCCCCUGCAACCACACCUCCGUCCGUCCGUACAUCCGUACAUACACACACACCGUCUCUCUCACACAUACAUACAGAGAAAAACACACUCUUAUCGUGCUGUUCAUUCACAACACGCAAACCCUGCCUUGGCUUGUUGAACGGCCCCCUAGACAGGGAAACCCCCCUUUUCUCUCUCCCCCUCUCUUUGCUCAUGUCGCUGUGCAUGUGCAUGAGCCAGCAGUCCAAGCUUCAUUCUCCUGCUGCUGCUGCUGCUGCUGCUGCGCCUCCUGCUGCCGUCCACCAGAAUUAAAAGUUUGAGCACAGUGACAUACAUACAUACACACAUAACACACACUCUUCUGAGGGCAUACCUACCCCCCAAUCACGGCGGAUGACUCCUGCUACGCUCUUCCCAGCAAAGAAAGCAAAAGGCGCCUCCUAAGCCGAAACGGAUACCCCUCAGAAUGCACUUUUUCACCCCGCCACAAACAUACAUACAGACAAACAACCCAAGACCGAGUGAAAGAGCGACCUUCACGGCUAGGACGGACACCAUGAUCGCGUCUGCACUUUCCUUUUUACGGUCCCCUCCUCCCUGGAAACAAAAUACACAUAUAACGACGGAGCACACACACAGACAGACAAACACACACACAGACAAACACACACACAGGGGCACACACACAGACACACACAGACACACACAGGCACACAGACAGAGACACACACACAGGCACAGACAGACAGACAGACAGACAGACAGACAAACACACACAGGCACACACACAGACACACACACAGGCACACACACAGACAGACAAACACACACACAGACAAACACACACACACAGAUAUGAAAGAGAGAGAACACACACCUCUGCCCCUUAACAUCCCACCAGCCACCACCACCUAGAACCACCGGUCCUCCUCCACCUCCAUCCUCAACUCUUUGCGAUGCAACCCAGUAACAGCCGCUCUCCCUCUCUCCUCUGCAAUUGUGUUCACAACCUUUCCCACACACCUUUUACCUCCCUAACCGCACCGCACUCCCUUCCUUACCCAUUCCCUCCUUACAGCCAUUCGCCCGCCUCCUCCUCCUCCUCCUCCUCCUCCUCCCUCCAUUCGCCGCCAACUCACCUUACCUCAUCCUUACCUUACAUCAUUCAACUCGGCUCGGCUCACCCCUUACACCCAUUGGUUUGGUUGCAGUGAUGGCGCCAAAAAAUACAACAGCUUGUUAGUUUUGAAAAAAAUGAUGCGUUUUGAUUCACGCAGCAAGGUCAACCAAGAUAUAUAACCCAUAUAACCCAUAUAGGUUUAAUACAUACAUAUAUAUAUAACCCAUAAAAAACCUUUUACACCGGAGCGGGAGGGUGGGACCGCAAGGGGCCCUGCGGCGAUGUGGACGGCGAUAGGUUCACGGCUGUCCAGGGCAACUCGGGAACGUGCUGCAGACAGAUCGGAACGGGGACAGAAGCUGAGGGCGGUGUGGCCGCCGCCGCCGCCGCCGCCGUCCCUGCCAUCGUACCUACAAUGGGCCCGUUGACCGCAUUCUUCUGAAGGUUUUGCAACAUGAGGCCGCCGCCGCCGCCGCCGCCGGCCCCGGCAGCGGCAGCGGCGGCCGAAGCUGUCGCUGCCGCAACCUGCCGUAGCCUACCGCUGAUGUCGGCUGCUCCAGGGUUUUGGCCAGUCACCAUCCAUGGCGGUUGCCGGUACGGAAAUGACGAUGACGGUUGCGGUUGUGGCGGUUGCAUCAUGAUGCCCAUUUGCGUUCGAAUAUCCGACAUGUGCGUUUGGAAAUGGGGACGUGUCUGAGUCUGGGCCUUCCGCGUUUGUUCAGCCUGGGUCUGUACGGCAGCUGUUUCGGCGGAAAGAUGAAAGCGCAAUUGCUGGUUCUGUAGCUGUAGUUGCUGUUGUAGGAAGUUUUGGUUCUGUUGAUACGUGGGAAGAUGAGGCGGCAGUAGCAGCAAGGGUGCGUGAGGGGAAACACCCACCCCUAAAACCGCCGCACACGAUGACUGCUGCUGUUGUAGCUGUUGCGGUUGUAGCUGUUGUUGUGCAGCAAAGGUAUGAUGUGCAGUCUGUUGUUGUGGGACGUACGGGUUGAGUACGACACAGCGGGGGCGGUCUUGGUCAGUGGCAUGCUGGCUGCCUCUGCUUUGUUGUGUUAUGAGUGGAUUGUACGGCUGAGGUUGGGCAGCGGCGGCGGCUCGGGACGAGGCGGCCAAGGCUGCUGCAGCAGCGGCGCCGCCGCCAAGAGACGUGCGAGGCUGCUGACCACGCGCCGUCGAUGCCUGCAGUACAUCAGCGGACGCAAUGGACUGCAUGUGCUGCCUUGCCUGUUGUGGAUCGGAUGGCGAAGCUGCGCCUGGAAGGGUGGCGCCGGGGGAGGUGGCUGCCGCCGCCGCCGCCGCCCCGAUAUGCGACGGAGUUAGGGAGCCACGAGGUCGCGCAGCUCCGCUGCCGCCGUCGCCAGCCGCCGGCGGCUCCUGUUGCCCUCGUCCUACGGCAGGCCUGCCGCUGUCUGACCUGGCCCCGGCGGCUCUGACGGCUGCAGCGUUCCGCGCCCAAACGUCACCUGCGUCGGCUGCUGCCGUACCUGGCCUGCCGAAACUCAACAUCGCCAAAAAGGCGUCCACAUGAGAGCCAAAGUCCAGAUCUGCCGUCGCGGCAAUUUCCAUUGCGCCGCCGCCGCCGCCGCCGCCGCCGCGACCAGUCUCCAAUGCUCGCUGCCGCUGGGCCCCCGACUGCUGCUGCUGCAUCAGCCGCGACAGCAAAAGCGCCGCAGUUUGCUGCUGCUGCUGCAGCAACUGCCGUAGCUCCUGUUGGGAAUACAUCUCCCGGGGAAUUGUCGCCGCCGCCGCCACCUGCGGCAGGCUCAAUAAGGGUCCCUCCCCUUCAAACUCCCGGCGAACGAGGGCCUUAUCCCCCGCGCGAGCAGCCUGACGAAGGGCGUUCCAACCAGGAUGGGGCCGAGCAUUUGCGUGGUCCCUCUGACGGCGACCUGAGGAGGGUUUUGGAGCGUUUUGGAGAGUUUUGGAGAAGGAUUUCGGGAUUUGGGUUUAGUUUUUUUAGAGUUUACACAUCUGAGCACUACUACAAGUCAUGCGGAAGCAAGGCCAAGCAAGGCCAAGCAAGGUAAGGAGGGGAAAGACGACCCACGAGCGAGUGAAGCUGAUGCCAAGGAAAGACUGCUGCGGCGGUAAGGAGGGGGGGAGCUAUGUGCAGAGGCAAGGGGGAAGGAAAGGGACCCAAGGGAAAGGCAGUGAGUGGUUUUCCAUGCCAAGAAACCAAGUUAUGGAAAAGCAGCAGCUGGGAGGUGAAUAAGUUCAUAUAAUUUGUGGUGUAGGAAAUCUCGAGCAAAACCCAGCAAGCAAGCAAGCUCACCGCUGCAUGUGUAAAGUGCAUGUGUAAAGUCAGUGAGGGCUACAAGUGUGUGCGUUAUGUGCGGGGGUUCAUAUGUAGGGGUUGGUGGUCUCCACCAAUCCCCCCCUUGUCCGUUGCUUCAUGCGCCCUCCCUUCCUCGCCACCCAACCACCCAAUCAGAGCUUCGGACGUCGGCACCUGACCCCUUGCUCACUGCUCGCAAUGAUUAAUGCCCCUCUUCCUCCCCUCCGCAUUGGCUUGGCAUUACUGCUUUCUCUGCUUUUUUAGUCCUGGCGGCUUAGGUAGGUAGUUUUUCCGACAUCAUCUUCACUACGUCAUCCCGAGGUCGCCGUCUUCACGGACGCCUUUCGGUCAGUUCUACGUCUGGUACACUCUUGCUCUGGCAGCAGCUUCACUCGUUUGUGGUUCGUCUUUCCCCCCUCUGCACUCUCAAUGGUGGUACCCCUCCUCGGGCCCCCCAUGUGGCCGCCGACUUCCCAAAGAACACAAGACGUAUCCUCGAGGAGGACGUGUGGCGCUGCGCAGUCCCAUUUGUGAUGCGCGAUGACUCCACACACAAAAUGUUUUCAACACCCGACUCAAGUACGAACAAAUGAUUGUCGUACACAACUGUACUGCGACAGUCACAACUGGUCCGUACUGGACACGUACAGACCAUUUCCAUUUCAUUCCUCGUUUUACUUGACUUCCAGAUUAGAGGACCACGUGGCUUGGUUUCAUCACACACGUGUGUGGAGGCAUGUGCAAAUACAUAUGCACACGUACAUGCAUAUGUAAAUAGACUUAGACCCGUACAUAUACGUCCGUACAAUGUCGUACCUGUGCCCCAGAACUGACACUCCGACGCCUUCACAUCGCACACGAAGCAGUAGCACUGAAGAGUUGGUGGAAAGAGAAGCGGAGCGGAGCGGAAAGGGGAGAGGGCGGAUUAAGAAGGCGUCAAAAAGAUGAAUAAUUAUAAAAUGCAAAACACCCGAUCCAGCUAUACUUUUGUCCUUAGCCGACCCCUCCGCAACCGUUACCACCUUCACUCGAAGCAUCCUAACCCAGCCACGACGAGCCCUAACCACCACUACCCCUCUACAUACAUACACAUACACACACACCUGCUCGCAGCACUUGGCAUUGGACUCGACCGCAGCCAUAUCGCGAUCGAAGUGGUGCUCGGCGCAGUGAGGUCGGGGGUGGGCAAGAUCCCGGGUCACCACCUGGAAUGUGAACCAGAUCAAAAAAAGGAUUCAGGAUCCAGAAUCUAGCAAGAAUGGGAUUGAGGAGGCGGGUUAAGAAGGUUGCGGGGUACGGUGCUGGGGGGGUGAGGGGGGGGAAAAGAAUGAGGGAUGUUUCUGAGGGUUUGGCAUGGUUCGGCACAGUCAGGGAUUUUGGGGGUGUUUUGGGUGGGCCCCAGUAAGAGUGAGAAACUGGUGCGGGAUGAGGAUGAAAGGACCGCGGAGCCUUGGAGGGUAGGACGGGGGAGCUGGGGAUGGAGGAAAGGUUGAGAUUCAUACUUUUUCUACUUUUUCAAAGGAUACACGUUUCAAAGCCUGACCAAAACUUAAAGGAGCAGGCUCCUCACCUGUCCCACCAUACCCACGAUGCGAAGCUCCUCAUCGGAUUCUAGAUCGUCACCAUCCUCCGGCUUGUCGCUAAGAGGAGGCUUGUUGACCGCUAUCUUCGGAGAUGGCUGGCGAAUGCAAGGUCGCUUGGCCUGCUGCUGUGAAGCAGCCCCAUCACGGUCGUUGCUUUGGAAUUCACCCACUAUGACAACGUCGCUGUCGUCCGAUGAGGCGCUUGUCGUUGGCGGUGAGACAACGCAUCGCCUCCGGUUUCGGGAGCCCGCAGGCUUACCCUGGCCACCACCAUCAGGGCUCCUAAUCUCGUUGCUUGCAACGCUAUCGUUCUGUUCGUCGUCACUGGUUGGCGCCGGUGAGUUGUUGUUGUUCAAGUGUUCAUGUUGCGAUUCUGAGGCGACGGUUCUCCGAAGUCGCCUACGGCUUCUUUGAGAAAUAAGAGUUGCCGCUUGGAGCUUCUUGUCGCAUGCUUGAGAUGCUGGCUCCUUGAAACGAGCCCUUGUGCGAAACGCGAUGGCGUCCAUGUCGAUGGGUCUAUGCCUCCUAAACUGAACCGUGAUAAGUUUAGGAAAGCUUACAUAGCGCGGAAACUCGCCAGCAUAGCCCAAUCGCAAUGGCCGAGUCGGUGCUGCCUGCGUUCCCUGUGUAACGUCUACGUUUCAGUUCAUUUGCGCCCCAGUACUAAUACAGUAACAGAAUAAGGCAAAACGAUGUUUUCUGUGGGAGGAAACCCAUAUGUUUACAACCUCGCUUGUUUCCAACCGCCACCGCAGCGAAGCGAUGGUUUGGUUAACUUCGCAACGCUUCCUGGUGUACGGAGCGCCUCAAUCAAUAACGCAGCAGCACAUAAUGAGCACACAAGAACAGCACGUGGAAAUAAGACCUCAAGCCUUAAACCUUCAGUUAUGCAACGGACUGCCCCAAAGCGCCGUACGUGCCUGAAUGCGGUUACGUAAAAGAGAAACCCGGUUCAAAUCUAACCCUACUCCCUGCGUGACCGCACUCAGCUCAUGCCUCCAUUAAACCCUCGAGCUUCAUUUAUCCUGCCUUAUAAGCCCUGAGCCCCAGAAAACCAACUUCGCAUUUCAUGACUUUCCAUCCCCUACGCACGAAAAACACCUAUCCCCCACCCAUCCCCUCACUUGCAACCCACAAACGAAAUGGAAAGCCUAACCUGGCAACAGAGCAUCCGUACAGUCUUCCUGACUACUUUCCGACUUCUCCUACAAAGAAAUCGUUUAUAUUCUGCUGCUGCUCCCACAACACAGGUUCAUCUUCCAGUACAAAGUGUAUAUGCAUUGUAAGAAGAAGCUACAAGGCAGCUCAAGCGCCUUCCUUCCCAGCCUCUGAUGUCUUGAUGUGGAUGCCUUGGAAUUAUCAAAUCCAUCUCCCGACGGAAUGGCGGCGCACCGAAAGCGGUUGGAAGGGAACCGAGGGGAACUCAGAUAAUUCCCCCCCUUCGGAAUGUGUUACAGGGUCCACUGGAUCCAUAACGCCAGCGGCAACAAUAUCCCCAUCGGCGCCAACAACAGCAGUAGGCAGCGAUAUAGCGGCAGUACGGCUCACAGCUGCAGUUUAGCUGCCGCAAAGCAGGGAAAGAAGUCAUAACAACACACAACGAAAACCGUUUACCCGAUGAUAUAUGAUGCAGCCAAAGGCCGUUUCCCCUUGAAGAUGAAGAAGAUGCGAUGUGCCACAGCAUCCCGCACAAAUUUUGCAGCACUCUGUCGUACUAUGCCGUACAUUACGGUACUUCUUCACACACGGUAACCCCUGCGUGAAAAAAAACAGGAUGCGAGAUGAAUGACAUAAACAUAAAAAACAUGCCGUACACCCUGCUGUACAGGCUGUGCUGUACACCCCCUGAACAUAAAAGGUCUCUCCACUCGAUGAACUUGCCUCCAGCCGAUCCUCCCGCUGUCGGAAGAUUCGUCCGUGCGUGCGUGCGUGCGUGCGGAAACAUUUCCCAUAAAUCAAUUUAUUCACUUCUCGGCUGUGACUUACCUAUAUUGCUGUGAACAAGGAACUGAAAUGGUCAGUCUGGCUGCGGGCAGAGACACAGCGGCCCCCCCCCCUCAUAUUGCCGUACUUGUUCGUACACCAUGACGUGGCACUACCAACGUUCUCGCCCUCAUCGUAGCUAUCAUCACAUCCUAAUACUCGCAUCCCUUUUACAGCUAUAAAUCAUAACACGUGUUAUUUCAACAAAAAAAAACCGCGUCCCACUGAACCGCAAAAAAAAACACGUCCUCCACUGAGCCGCGACCUAUAUAAGUCUUAUACCUUGCCUUCGCGGCGCGGCUCAUCACCGGCUGUGACCGUUCCCCAACACGGCUCGGGUCUCUCACUCGCUUACAUAUUUUCCCUGUCCACCUACCUACCUAACUUCCUGACCUUCUACCUGACUUCCAAACUGACAACUGCCAACUGCCAACCGACCUAACCUCCCUCGUGACGGCGGCCAUUAUGCAAAUCGUGGUGGCGGUGCCACGUGGUGGCCUCGUAUUAUCUUGGCGAGCUUCUAAUAAAGACGUGCCAGACAGGCAGCAGCACAGGAAUGGCCCCGUCAUGGCUGCGGCGAAAGCGAAAGCUGUAGGGACGGCGGCAGUAGCAGCAGUAGCGUGUUGUCCUUCACGUUUGAGCUGGCUUCGCGAGAGUCCUGCUACAGCCAAAGGUACGAUUGUGCUGAUGCUGCUGCCAGCAGAGGCAUCGUCGCCGUCGCCUCCGGCCUCAUCCCGCCGGCGGCCUCGGCCGUCGCUGCAGGUGCCCCCGCCGCCGCUAGCUGCGGUGGCGGCACUCCGGCGUCCGCUUGCGGCUGUACUGCUGCUGUACUGCUGCUGUACUGCUGCUGUACUGCGGCUUUUUUACUUCCGCCGCAAUGCCCUGCAAUGAGGUUAGUCACUGGCAUCAUAAGCCGAUGUGCCUUCCAACGCAAUUCCCAAACUCAAUUGCUCAAUUUGAUGACCCUGAUCCUGAUCUUUGUGCUCCUGCUGCUCCUGCUCCUGCUGCUGCGGCUCCUGCCUCUGCUGCUGCUGCUCUUCUUCGUGCUGGCUUUGAUGCUGUUCAAGUUCCCCCUGUCCUUGCUGCUGCUGCUGCGGCGGCGGCUGCUCUUCGUGCUGGCUUUGAUGCUGUUCAAGUUCCCCCUGUCCUUGCUGCUGCUGCGGCGGCGGCGGCUGCUCUUCUUUGUGCUGGCUUUGAUGCUGUUCAAGUUCCCCCUGUCCUUGCUGCUGCUGCUGCUGCGGCGGCGGCGGCUGCUCUUCUUUGUGCUGGCUUUGAUGCUGUUCAAGCUCACCCCGUCCUUGCUGCUGCUGCUGCUGCGGCGGCUGCUCCUCUUGUGGGCCCAAAUAACGUGACAACCGAAGCUUCAGUCGUACACGCCGUACCGGGAGUCCACUUCCGGAGGCCCCCUUGCCGACUUCAUCAUCGAGGCCGAGGCGGCUGUCGCCGCCCCUGGCGGCCCCCUCCCUGCCGGCCCCGGCGUCUCCGUCCUUUCCGGCCCGGUUGGCGAUGCUGUCGCCGAUACCGUCUGCCGAGCGUCCUUCAAUCACUGGCCCUUUUGCCGACCCCUACACCGACGAUGAUGGGGGCCCCGUAACCGACUCCUCAUCCAACCUAGGCUCUAUCGCACACGCAUCAGAAAGUGCUCCCCCUCCUCUUCUCUCUCCUCCUGCUGCUGCUGCUACUGCUGCUGCUUCACCUCCACAGCUUUCCCCGCUACCUCCCCCGCCCACAGGAACGACUCUAAAGGCUGCAGCUGCUGCUGCUGCUGCUACGGCAUCCAAAGAUAGCCCUACACGCUCGCCCGACGUCAUGGUCGCCGCCGCCGCGGCUGCGUCCUCCACCUCCUCCGCCUCCUUCACCUCCUCCGCCUCCUCCAACUCCUCCGCGUCCACCGCUGCUAUCUUGGCAGGGCUGCCUGUGCGAGCAGCUACAGCACCGCCGUUGGCGGCGGCGGCGGCGGUGGCUUCGGCGGCGCUGCCGCCGCCGGUAUUGCCACUGCUACGAAGCGCUUGGACGCUGUUUACACGGACGGCGUGCAGAGCCUGAGCACCUGACGUCAUGUUUUGGGCGGCGCUGAGCAUCUCCUCUAGAAAUGAACGCAUAUCCUCGUCAUCCAGAGAAAUCACAACCGCCGGCGACUGUGCCGCCGCCGCAACCUGUUGUUGCUGCUGUUGCUGCUGCUGCUGCUGCGGUGACGUUGGUGAUUGCUGCCUCAGCCGACUGAGGCUCAGCGGUACGGUAAAUCUCCACGGCUCCGCCACCGCCACUGCCGCCGCUGGCAACGACGUCGACGCUGGCGCUGGCGCCGGCUGGGCCUGGGACUGAGCAUGGGAAUGUCUCAUAUGCGCAUGAGGGGGAUUCGAACCGGGGUUCAUGACGUUGCUGACGUUGUUGACGUUGGUGAAGGUGGAGGGCGGAAGGCGGUUUGCAUGGUCCGUGUGACUCAUGCCUGUACGGAAAAGAAAACGGAGACGCGAAGCUUCUUUAGUAGGGCGGCCAGCGUAACGAGUUAGUCAGUCAGUCAGUCAGUCAGUCAGGUUUUGGGAACACCGUCGUGUGCCAACAGCAUGCGAGUNNNNNNNNNNNNNNNNNNNNNNNNNNNNNNNNNNNNNNNNNNNNNNNNNNNNNNNNNNNNNNNNNNNNNNNNNNNNNNNNNNNNNNNNNNNNNNNNNNNNNNNNNNNNNNNNNNNNNNNNNNNNNNNNNNNNNNNNNNNNNNNNNNNNNNNNNNNNNNNNNNNNNNNNNNNNNNNNNNNNNNNNNNNNNNNNNNNNNNNNNNNNNNNNNNNNNNNNNNNNNNNNNNNNNNNNNNNNNNNNNNNNNNNNNNNNNNNNNNNNNNNNNNNNNNNNNNNNNNNNNNNNNNNNNNNNNNNNGGAGGAAGGGAGGAAGGGAGGAAGGGAGGAAGGAAAAUUUGCACAUUAGGAUAUGAAGGAAAGUGCCAGAGAUCUGGAAAAAUAUACGACGGUGUACACGCGAUUUGGGACCACAGAAACAUCACAGAAUGGUAUGGAAGCCAAAAAGAGACAGAAGGCAAUAAGUACGUUUUAAGAUGGCAUCCAACUCUUAUCUUUGGUGGUCGGCGGGUUGGGUGUGUACAAUGGAGAUGGUCGCGAUGUGCGUCACCUGUCGCUGUGUCACAAUCAUGUACACGACAACUCUCCCGUAUCCCCUUCGCUGCCAUACCUGAGCCCCAGCUCCGGCACUGCCUCGCCAUUGACCCGCAAGCGCAACACACGCACUGCGCCGGUGGUUUGGGGAGGGUGCGGUCGCGGUCGCGGUUGCGGUUGCGGACAGUAUGCACGGGUGACGGAGGGCCCGACACGGGGAGCGUGUCGUACGGCGUGUACGGCAUGACAGUCCGCGGCCCAUGCGAGGAGAAGGAAAACCCGGGGCCGGAAACCUUGUUGUACUGCAAGGUAUGCACUACACGGAAUGGAAUGCGGAAGCAUCUUGUCCACACGUCGAUAGCAAGCACUCGCGCACCGGCGACGCACCACUGCCUUCAGCGACCCACGGGUCGAUCUACGCGUGACUGACCCACGGCUUUUAAUAAUCAACAACUCGCAUCGCCCAAAAGGGUUUGGAAGACGUACUACCUACUGACCUACAUAUGCCGUCCCGCCCUCACCGACCCGCGGGUCGCACCCCACAUAGAUAUCCACACACACCUCUGCACACCUGCAUCCAACCCUCUCGCCACGCACCCUCUCGCCGCACCUCACCUGCGCGCAGCACAUCCAGUUCUCCCGGCACCUCGCUCCUGGCCGGAAGGGGUAACUCGGGCAGAGCGGCCGCAGGUGAUGCUGCGGGGGCCCCCCGGCGGGGUGAACACCACCAGCACCACCGACUGCCAGUCGUCCGCCGUCCCCAUCCCCAUCCCCCGGCCAAAAAGAAGGGAGAGAAAUGCCGCCGCCGCCGGCGACGUUGGUGGCUGCCGCCGCCACCACCGCCGGUCCCCGCUGCUGCGGCUGUGGCGCCUUCCGGCCCUCGAACUCGGCGGCUAGGAGCUCCCUUUUCGCAACCGGGUCGCGCGUGUUCCGGACGGCCACGCGAAGUCUGCUCCAGGGACAGCCGGGUCGGGCGUUGGCGUGAUCGCGCGAACUAGCACCUACAGCGGCAGUUGCACAUUUGAAUUUGAAAACAUCAAUCAUCGCUAACACCAAAAAAAAUUAAUAAAAAAGAAACAGAAAAGUUGGUUAAAAUGGAUAUUGUAAAACGAAUAGAAAGACCGUACAGAUACCUUCUACAAGACCAAUAAUAAUAAUAAUAAUAAUAAUAAUAAUAAUAAUAAUAAUAAUAAUAAUAAUAAUAAUAAUAAUAAUAAUAAUAAUAAUAAUAAUAAUAAUUGGCUCAUAAUUGUUGUUUGUUUUCUACUAGUCGUUCGUUAGUUAUCAAUUAUAGCAUCAAGUCAUUAUGAAAGGUUUUGCUGUACUGUGAGCAUGUGUGUACUACACGGUUUGCGGACAUAAACGUCCGUACAAUGCCGUACCUGUGCCCCAGAACUGACACUCCGACGCCUUCACAUCGCACACGAAGCAGUAGCACUGAAGAGUUGGUGGAAAGGGAAGCGAAGCGGAGCGGAAAGAGGGACGGUGCAAGGAUAAGUCAGAGGUGAGUAGGAAAUAUCUUAAGGCGCAGCGAACUGGAGCUCUCACAUCCAGCGUCACAUGCGAGACGGCGUUACAGGAGCAAAAACGAAUUACGAAUCAAAACGCCAGGAUCCACACGCGGGAAUACGAAAAACACGGAAUUUGGGUUCCAUUUGGCUGUUGAGAUCCAAUCUUAAAAUUGCAUGCGACAAUGGCCUGCUAAAACCAUAACAGGGAUAAUCAUAUAAUAUAUUAUUACUUGCCUGCUUGCAGAAAGAUGCGUUAGCGAGAAUUCCACCGUUGUUGACACUGCCGCCGCCGCCGCCGCCGCCGCCGCUGCUGCUGCUGACCGCGCUGGCCGGGACUCUAAACUUGAACUCAAAACAGUCGUGCCGUGGAUGCGGCAGAUCGCGGGUGGGUACCUAGGGAGGGAGCGUUACGAAUGCGGUUACGAAGGCAGGUAUAGCGGAUACGCUGCCGAGCUGGAACCGAAACCUGACCCCAACCGCCAACUACCAACAAACCUUCACACACAUACACAGAGAGAGUAAGUGCACGCACACGCCUUUGAUGCACACCCCCCCUGAUCAUCCAUCAUUCAUCAUUCACCAUCCAUCCAUGAUCAUUGGGGAAAUCAUCACCACGCGUUAAUACACGCAUGCGUCCCUCCCCCUCCCGCACCCUUCACACCAACCGACCUGGCCCUUCAUCUGCACCACUUCCACAUCGGAGUCGGAUCUACUGUCCUCGCCGCCACCACCUUCAUCGGCGUCACGCGCGGCGGCGGCAGCGGCGACGGCGACCCCGCCACCGCAAGCUUCCGCUGCGGCAGCGUCAAAACCGCCCCCGCCCCCGCCACCGCCACCGCACGGGUUGGCGUCGGUAGCUUCCGCGAUGGGUACUGCUGCCGGCAUUGCGGCGGUUGUUGCCGUCGCCACUCGUCCCGCCACGACACCAUGUGCGGCUGCGAUGAUGGCGUUGAUAGCAUCUUGGUUAUCGGGCUGGUCGGGCGCAGCAGGGGAAGGGACGCUGGGAUUAGCCGCUCUGUCUUUAAGCUCGGCUGCUCUGUUUUUGGAGUUGAACGCUCCGUUGUUGUUGGCACCGUUCCUGAAUUGGUGUGGGCCCUGCUCCAGGGCCACCGUUCCACCGAUAGAAGACAUGUGGCCGCCCAUCCUGGGGUUAGCUGACCCACGGCGGCCACGUUGUCCACAACCUACGUUUCCCGGACUAUUUAUUUCGGAUUCUUCGCUUUCGGUAGCAGCAUCGCCGUCAUCGAUGCUGCUGUCAUCUGAGCUGUCCAGGAGCUCGAUGCAUUCUGGCUGGGCUGCGACGCGAGCGGCCGCGUGAGCCCGGGCGCGCUUGGGCGAAGGCUGAAGACCCUCAAUAUCCAGAUCGUCAUCGCCCGUGAGAUCGAUUGUGAAGCUGCCGCUCCGGCGCCCUAAAUGCGCAAGGCCCGACAUAAAAUUCAGGGAAGGCAAAUGAGUUCCUAGGAUUCAAACCAUUAAGGUUAAUCUUAAAAGGCUUUAAUAAAGUGACGCCUCAGAAAACGCCCGUCGAAAAUGAAACGCAAGUAACUAACUGAACCAUCAUUUCACAAGAUGUUUUGGCUGCGAAACUUAUGGCCUAACAGAGCACCUCAUGUGGAUGAGUAUUGCUUGCAUCGGUUAGUCGCGGAGCACAUGAAAAAACACAGGGGAUCGCCGUACGGUGGUUGACACCCAGUGCCCCUUCUGAGCAAAACAUGAGAGCCCGUCCCGCAUGCGCGUUUAAGUUCAUAUAGGUUAACCUGUUGGCUUUGGCCGAAGCCUUUUAGUGCCGACACUGCAAGGAUAGUUUGCUGCAACACCCCUCUCGACGCUGAAGCUGUGAGCUUAAGGAAGAAUGCGCGGCCUUAUGCAAGAAACCCCUUUAAACGUAUGCCAGAUUCUUGACUACGCUGCCAAAUGGCAUCCCGAGCAGCUUGUGAUAUCAAAGAGCGUGGAGGGCCCCGUCCUCUCCUACUCCUACGCGGAGCUUCACAAGCGCGCCCGACUGUGCGCCAUCGCCCUGGGGCAGCUAGGAGUCAAGUAAGCGUCUUUCUUCCUACAAAGUUAUAUCGUAUUAGGGGAUAAGACAGGCUUUGCCCGGCAGUGUGCCGAGUGCGUCGUUUAUCGGCUUUCGCAGCGCAGGAGGGAAAAAAUCUUCGCUUGUAGCUAUGGAGUUUAAAUGCUCAAUUUACUAGUCCUAUCAGGAGUUCCGCAGCUUAGUUUGUGGUAGCACGCUGUCCAGCUCCAUUUACACGUCGGCAUGGCAGCUGCUCUUUUGUGCGGUUUUCACUGCACAAAAUGCUCAUAUCUUAUAAUCCCUGUAUCAUAUAGCUUGCGCCUGGAGGGCCUCGCAGCGAGUCCGUCCUUGUUGGACUUUGCGACAACAUGAGUCGGCAAAAUUCUAUAACUCACAAAAAUGAAAUAAGAAUCGGAACGUAAACAUUUUUUUCAUAGUACUGGCUUUCUCUUGCACGUCUUUUGUAACGCAGGAAGGGAUCCUUCGUGGCUACCUUGGCUUGGAACACGUCACGGCACAUGGAAGCGUGGUACGGCAUUAUGGGUUGCGGAGCGAUCUGCCACACGCUAAACCCGCGCCUCUCGGUCAAGGACCUCACCUACGUUGCGCACGACGCCAAGGUAGUUUUUACUGACUCUGUGCAAGAGUCAGUAGCACUUGUUGUUACACCGGGUUUCUAAGCUUCUAAGCCUAUAGGAGCAGCCAGCCUGAUGCUGCAUGAACCGUAGACACUAAAAGGACACCAACUACUCCGUAACGGUACACACAUACACACACACCUACAGAACAGCCUCGCCGUAGACUAAGACCGAGGCUAGCACCGAUACCGAUCGAGGGACCGUAGGCCUGAUGCGGCGAAACCAUUUAAUCGCGCCCCAAAAAGUAAACCAUCGUUCUGUGGACUGCUCAAUCCGUGAUUUGGGCCUGGCGCGCGGCUUCCUGUACCGGUGUACUGGCGCUUGCACCAACCGACGCCCCGUCUCCACCGCGCUAAUAACCGCCGAAAGGAUGACCGCGUCCCACACACUUUGUGUUGCAUUUCCGUCGGAGGCCGCCCCUCCUGCGGCCAAACCUCCCAAUGGGAUAUUGCCCCUGCGGGCGUCCGAGUCGAAUGCUUGAGUCGGUAGGAAUUCUUUUUUCACGAUAAGGCGUGAAAGCCUCGGGACCCCCCUGUGGUACACACAUGUCGAUAUUCGUGGUGGCAUAUGUUGUAUAAUAUUAUAUGUGUGGUUUUCGCGCACGCGCUUUCACCGUCGGGCAAGGGCUUACGUCCCGGUGCCGUACUGCUUGCCGUGUCUACAUCCGUCGUACAGGACGAGCUGAUCAUUGCAGAUGCAACUAUGGUGCCGCUUCUGGAGAAGGUUCUGCCCGGGGUGCCCUCGAUCCGUACUGUCGUACUACUGACGGACAGGUGUGUGUUUUUCACUUCGUGGGGAAGCGUAAAAGGCCCCCGGGCGCGGAAGAGAUACUCCCCCACACUCCCACGUAUCACGUAUAUAUGUAUCGAUGUAUGUAUGUAUGUAUGUAUGUAUGUAUGUAUGUAUGUGUACGUAUGUAGGAAAUUUGCCAAUAGAAGGUGGAAUGCUGCAAAACGGGGAAGGUGCCGACAGUCCGUCGAUCCGACAAUCCAAAUCACACAGUCGGUUGGGUGGUGCAUGGUGCAUUGUCGGGUAUCAACCUUUUACGGAAUUCGUACGCGAUUCGUACAGCUUUCGUACACUUCCACACAGGCUGAAUAUGCCGUCCCCGGCUGCCCUGGCUGCGCUGGUGGGCGGUGGUGGUGUUGGCGGCGGCGGCGGCGGCGGUGGCGGCGGGGGGCCGAAAGGGCUGUCGGUGGUGGUCCACUGCUACGAGGACUUGUUGGGGGGUGCAGCUGCCCUCCCUGGAGCGCUGGAGGCGUUCUGUUGGGCCCAGGUGAGCAUGAGGGGCCCACCAGGCGAGGCGUACGACACGCACGUGUUUCUUUCUUGUAAUCGUUUGCAUAAAUUGCGCGUGACCGUGUGUGGAUUUGGGUUUUAUCUGGCCUCCCAGAGGCCAGAUUUCCGAGAGGUACCUGGCCAAUGCCAGAGGUGGCGCCUCAGUCAUAAUGGUGCGCAUGCUGCGCCCCUUAAAGGAUAGGUCACCAUCGUACUUAGCCCGUAUGCUCUUGUAAGCGUUGCAUUCAGCAAAAACGUGCAACUCAUCUUCAACCGCUCCGCAGUCACAAGGCCAGCAGGUACGCGCGGUGCGCCCGCGCCCAUUAGGGCGAUUGACCUCUAACUCCCAACAGCCUAACCGGAAAACGCAUGAGCCUGACGCAGGCAGGGCCGCUCCCAACCAGGUCAUAAAGCGACAAGUCAUUGCUUUAAUAAAUCCUAUCAGGAAUGACAUUGUAAUAGUUCAAGAAUUUCGUACCAAAUUGUUCGAAUAUAAAGUUCUCCAACAUCUUUUCUACGCCCAAUGUGGGGCUCGAACCCACGACCACAAGGUUAAGAGCCUUGCGCUCUACCGACUGAGCUAACCGGGCAAGCUGAUGAACAAUUGUCGCUUUGAAUAGUUAUUGAAUAUGGAGCAACGAUAAACAUCCUUAUGACGACCAUUUGAAAUGGCUCUUCCCCCAAACCUUCUGAUUUUUUCCGUACAAUUGGUAUGCGGCAUGUGCGGCAGGUUGAUGAGUACGACGCUUGCGGCAUGUGUUAUACGAGCGGCACUACCGGCAACCCCAAGGUAUACGACACAUUGCAAGGGCAUUGCCGCUUGCCCGCCGAUGUGACCGUACGGUUUGACUCGACCAGGGGGUACAAUACUUAGAACCGGUCUCUGACAUGGCACGUACAUCCGUACACGUUGUUGGGGCACCCUCGAGAGCCGGGCCUUCGGGACAUCGCCGGCUUCCGGUUUCUAACUGAUGAUUGUUGCAUAUUGCAAUUCGCAUGGUGUUCGUCACUCGAGGUGGUGGCCGUUUCCCUGGAGGUGACGUGUUUUUGAUUUCCCCUCGCUCCCCAUGCCGCCCCCUCCCCCGGGGCAUAACCGGCCCGGAGGUGUCGCUAAAUAUUACCUUCCCUUGCCUUGGUUGUCGUACACUAUUGUACUGCCGUACUGCAGGGCGUACUUUACUCGCACCGUGCAAAUUACCUGCACGCGCUGCUGCUGCUCCAGGUGGGUGCGGGGGAGUGGUGACGUGUCUGUUUGUGUGUCUGUGUACAGCAUGUUUGUCGCACACACGCACAUUAGUGUGGAUGCAAAACCCUGCCGAUGAAUUGAUCAAUAGUUUAUCAUCACGGUGUUUUUGUACCGCCAACACUAGCCAACCCCCCCGGUACGGCAAGUUGCGUCAUUGAUUUGAAAUCCAGUGACAGCCGGUGCCCGGACUGUUGCAAAUGUAAUGUCUUGCCACCACUCCCCCCCUUCUCUCCCCCCCUUCUCUCCCCCCCUUCUGGGCCCCCAAAACCCCCACACCCCACCACCGCAGGCGGACAGUCUGCCCCUCUCCGCCUCCUCCUGCUGCCUGGCCGUGGUCCCCAUGUUUCACGCCAAUUCCUGGGGACUGGUGUUCGCGGCGCCGAUGGUGGGUGCAAGAUUGGUGCUGCCAGGUACGUUUGUGUAUGUGUGUGUAUGUAUGUGUGUGUGAGGGGGGACGUUCCUGGGGAUUACCGGGCUAAGGGCCGGGAAGCCGGCUCCUAAAAAGUAGCGUCAUUCACAUCAGCGGGUAGUGGAAAGGAAAGUGAGUGUAGUCCCCCCCGAACCCCCCGGGGGCGCAUGCCGCCACCCCCGUAGUCUCACAGCUGUACGGCAUCCAUGACAGCUGGACUUGACUCAAGAUAUGCCCUCCCCCAUGCGUUGCUGGUUGUGUGUGUGUAUGUAUGUAUGUAUGCAUGGUUCUGCACCUUUCCGCCAACCUCCGGCACCAUCCGGUAUCUAACCCCCAGGAUUCGUUUUCUCGUCUCCUCAUUCCUCCCCCUCGAUUUCCCCUCGCAAUCCCGCUCCUUAAACCCCCUCCCUCCAUCCCCCCAACCCCCUUCCCCCCUCCCCUCCCACUCCCCCUUCCCUCCACCGCACCCGGGGCCGCGGGGCUGUGGGUGCUCCGUGAUAAGGCCCCCAUCUGGACGGUGCCUCCAUCUACUCCCUGAUGGAGACGUACGGCGUUACCGUAUCAGCCGGAGUACCAACCGUAUGGUUGGCGCUAUUGUCGUACUGCGAGGAGCACGGUCUUACAUUAUCCACCCUCCGUAUCGCGUGUAUUGGGGGAGCGGCGGCGCCGCUGAGCAUGUUGGAGGCGUUUGAGAUCAAGUAUGUGGUGGCUGCGAUUCAUCAUAUGUCAGGUUGUGCACUGACGUACGACAUGUCCUGAGACAGUCGUACAUCCCCUGAUACAGGACCUUGAGAACGUUUUCCCUCUCUUCCCCAUUCUCUUUCCCCAAUCCGAAUUUUCCUUCCACGCGUGAUAGGCCCUUGUACCUCCCCCCGCCCCGCCCUGCCCUGCCCUACAACCGUGUUCAGGUUAGAAAUAAACGUCCCACCCCACCCCACCCCACCCCACCCCGGCCCCCGUUGAAGGGACUAAUGGGCAGCUGGUAGUCCCCAAGACGUCGACAGUUGAAGUCCUUUGCUUGCAUGCAUUUCUCCCCCUCGCGCUCUCCACCCUUCCAAACGCCCCCAGAGCCCACCCCGUGUUUUUCGUCCUUGUAUUCGCUAUAUCUUUUAUUCGCUUAAAAUAUUUCCGAAUAAAAUAUUUCCGAAUAAAAUAUUUCCAAAUAAUAUUCUCCCCCUUCGCUCCACGCCUCGCUGAACAGACACGGUGUGGAAGUACGGCACCUGUGGGGUAUGACCGAGCUGACUCCCCUGGGUACGGUAGGCAAUCCCAAACCCGCAUCUACCGGCGGCCGUACACGGCCUGCCAGCGGCCUCGCCGCCACGUCAUCGCCCUCGCCAUCCGCCGCCGCCGCCGCCGCUUCUUUCCGUACUGCCUACCUGGGUGCCAAACUGAAGCAAGGUCGGCCCCACGUGCUGUGCGACAUGCGGAUAGUGGACGAUGCUGGGCGGGAGCUGGCGCACGAUGGCAAGACGGUGGGGCAUCUGCAGGUGAGGUGCGUGUAUGUAUGUAUGUGUGUAGGUGUGUGUACGUAUGUGUGUGUAUGUGUGUGUAUGUGUGUGUAUGUGUGUGUAUGUGUGUGUAUGUGUGUGUAUGUGUGUGUAUGUGUGUGUAUGUGUGUGUAUGUGUGUGUAUGUGUGUGUAUGUGUGUGUAUGUGUGUGUAUGUGUGUGUAUGUGUGUGUAUGUGUGUGUAUGUGUGUAUGUGUGU
Molecule: long non-coding RNA, 27748 nt
Filed under: Volvox carteri
Lineage: Eukaryota; Viridiplantae; Chlorophyta; Chlorophyceae; Chlamydomonadales; Volvocaceae
Description: long non-coding RNA (VCAR_LNC001340)
Source: RNAcentral